CGAAACUAUUUGGUAAACUUUUCUUUAGCCAGGGGCUUAUAAAUAAAAAGGUUUUUUUUAAAAAAGGUUUAGUAGUAUAGAUAAUAUUAUCGUAUAUAGUAAUAGCUUAUAAAGAGGGAAGCUUUCGAGUUAAUAUGAACGGGUAAAAUCAGUUCUUUAUUUAUAAUGUAUUUGUAUUUUAAUACGAAAAUUAAAAUUUGAGGUGAGAAGUUUCUAAAAUAAAAAAGUGUUUUUACUUUAGUCCAGGCUUACAAGCAUUUUUAUAGCUCUUCUUAGUUAAUCGCAAAAAAUUAAACUAUGCUGGAAUUAGUAAAUGACUAAAUAUACAAAAACUCGAGAUUAGCCCCAACUGUUUAACAAAAACAUUUCCUUCUUGUAUAUUUUGAAGGUAAAGCCUGCUCAGUGGGUAUAUUAAACAGCCGCGGUAUUUAAGCUGCGCGAAGGUAGCAUAAUUAAUUGUCUUUUAAUUGGUGACUUGUUUGAAUGGCUUAAUGAGGGCUAAUCUUUUUGUAUGCUUAAAUGAACUUAUUUUCUAGGGUCAAAAAACCUAGAUUAAUAAAAAAGAAGAGAAGACCCUGAUGAGUUUUACAAUUUAAUAUUGUUUUAAUGGGGCCUUAUAGUUUAUUUCAUACUAUAUUUGAUCCUACCUUGAGGAAAAAGGGAUAAAUUACCACAGGGAUAACAGGACAAAAUUUACUAAGAGUGCAUAUCUAAGUAAGAAAAUGUUACCUCGAUGUUGAAUCAAAGUUAACUUUUAGGCGCAGAAGUUUUUGGAGUAGGUCUGUUCGACCUUUAAAACUUUACG
This 805-nucleotide ribosomal RNA is filed under the name Eurylepta cornuta. RNAcentral describes it as "partial large subunit ribosomal RNA". The stretch from base 564 to 805 matches the Rfam family "Bacterial large subunit ribosomal RNA", at positions 2079 to 2600 of the family's 2925-position model. The record is from RNAcentral. Lineage: Eukaryota; Metazoa; Platyhelminthes; Polycladida; Euryleptidae.